GAUGAAGACGUAGCGAAAUGCGAUACUUGGUGUGAAUUGCAGAAUCCCGUGAACCAUCGAGUCUUUGAACGCAAGUUGCGCCCGAAGCCACUAGGCCGAGGGCACGCCUGCCUGGGCGUCACACGCCGUUGCCCCCCCAUCUACUCCUUCGGGAUUGCGGGGGGCGGAUGAUGGCCUCCUGUGCGCCUAGCCGCGCGGUUGGCAUAAAUACCAAGUCCUCGGCGACGCACGCCACGACAAUCGGUGGUUGCGAAACCUCGGUUGCCCGUCGUGUGCGUUCGUCGCGCAUCGAGGGCUCGAAAAAAUGCUCGGCUCCGGCUGGGCUUUCAACGCGACCCCAGGUCAGGCGGGGUUACCCGCUGAAUUUAAGCAUAUCAAUAAGCGGAGGA
RNAcentral lists this unclassified non-coding RNA (389 nucleotides) under soil metagenome. RNAcentral describes it as "partial contains 5.8S ribosomal RNA, internal transcribed spacer 2, and large subunit ribosomal RNA". The stretch from base 1 to 121 matches the Rfam family "5.8S ribosomal RNA", at positions 35 to 154 of the family's 154-position model. The record is from RNAcentral.